GCACUGUUUGCCUUCGUGCUCAGUAGACCCGCAUUUGUAGCAAGUCGGAUAGGCAGCAGUGC
Molecule: microRNA precursor, 62 nt
Filed under: Cordylochernes scorpioides
Lineage: Eukaryota; Metazoa; Arthropoda; Arachnida; Pseudoscorpiones; Chernetidae
Source: RNAcentral